RNAcentral lists this long non-coding RNA (297 nucleotides) under Eutrema salsugineum. Its description in RNAcentral is "long non-coding RNA (ESAL_LNC000432)". Lineage: Eukaryota; Viridiplantae; Streptophyta; Magnoliopsida; Brassicales; Brassicaceae. The record is from RNAcentral.
GUGUUUCGUCUGAUGAACGACAUAACCACGUUCGAGGAAGAAUUGGAGAGAGGAGAGGUGGCCAAUGGAGUCAACUGUUACAUGAAGCAACAUGGUGUUAGUCAAGAAGAAGCGGUUAGAGAAUUGAAGAUGAUGAUUAAGGAUCACCAUGAGAUCAUGAUGGAUGAGUUCUUUAGUGCCUCAUCUACUGUGCCACGCCAGGUUCUAGUGCGAGUCUUCAAUAUUGCACGUGUGGUCGUUUUGUUUUACAAGGAUGGUGAUGGAUUUGGUCAUCCAGAUGAAACUCUCAAAGCCCAC